AUCUGGAUUUGAAGGACCUUGGACUCCCAACCCCCUUAUCUUCGACAACUCCUACUUCACGUGAGUUCUGUUUUUCUGCUGUCUUUUCUCAAUAUGUCUAGUUGCACUGAGCUACAAAAGUCAAGUGGAAUGCUGUUCGAUUAUGCAGGGUGCUUCUUGGUGGAGACCAGGAAGGUCUUCUAAUGCUUCCAAGUGACAAGGCUCUUCUGGAUGACCCUGUCUUCCGCCCUCUUGUGGAAAAAUAUGCUGCGGUGCGUGCCUUCAGUAAUUUUCUUUUCUUCUGCGUGCUUUUCCAUUACGUACAAGACUGAAACUGAUUGUUAAAUUUACCUUUAUGUUUUUCAGGAUGAAGAUGCCUUCUUUGCUGACUAUGCUGAAGCUCACAUGAGGCUCUCUGAGCUCGGGUAAUUUUCUUAUUACCACAUCAUUCGCAAUUACUUUGGGUUUCUUUUAAUGUUUUAUUCAACACAGAAAUGGCCUUGAAUACGAUUUGUUGCUGCAAUUUUGUAGGUUUGCCGAGGCCUAAGCAGAGUCGGGAGAACUACAAGGGAUGAUGCUGAUGCCUGCCCCGCCGUUGCUUUUGUUUUUUUGGAUGCCUCUUAGUUGCGAGGUUUUAGGCAGUUGGUAUUUUUCUUAUUGUUAUUGGGUGUUUAGGAAAGAAGUUGGGACUUCUGGUUCGGUUUGAACAAUGAAUGCUUCUAAAUUGGAUAGAAUGCUGUGGUAAUAAUCCUUGUAGAUUAAAUAAAGCCGUAAUUUUCACUUCACUGGUUUUUGUUCUUCAAUGCUUCAGGCCGCCUCGUUUCUAUUGGAAAAUGUGGUGGUUUGGUCGUAUCAAUGAGAGACUUACGUGCA
Molecule: long non-coding RNA, 852 nt
Filed under: Malus domestica (apple)
Lineage: Eukaryota; Viridiplantae; Streptophyta; Magnoliopsida; Rosales; Rosaceae
Description: long non-coding RNA (MDOM_LNC010113)
Source: RNAcentral